RNAcentral lists this ribosomal RNA (253 nucleotides) under uncultured bacterium. Its description in RNAcentral is "partial 16S ribosomal RNA". It matches the Rfam family "Bacterial small subunit ribosomal RNA", at positions 524 to 776 of the family's 1533-position model. The record is from RNAcentral.
UACGUAGGGUGCGAGCGUUGUCCGGAAUUAUUGGGCGUAAAGAGCUUGUAGGCGGUUUGUCGCGUCUGCCGUGAAAGCCCGGGGCUUAACCCCGGGUCUGCAUUCGAUACGGGCUAGCUAGAGUGUGGUAGGGGAGAUCGGAAUUCCUGGUGUAGCGGUGAAAUGCGCAGAUAUCAGGAGGAACACCGGUGGCGAAGGCGGAUCUCUGGGCCAUUACUGACGCUGAGGAGCGAAAGCGUGGGGAGCGAACAGG